AGGACGAACGCUGGCGGCGUGCUUAACACAUGCAAGUCGAGCGGAAAGGCCCUUCGGGGUACUCGAGCGGCGAACGGGUGAGUAACACGUGAGCAACCUGCCCUUAGCUUCGGGAUAGCUCCGGGAAACCGGAAUUAAUACCGAAUAUGAAUUUGGCUGACAUCAGCAGAAGUGGAAAGUUUUUCGGCUAGGGAUGGACUCGCGGCCUAUCAGCUAGUUGGUGAGGUAACGGCCCACCAAGGCGACGACGGGUAGCCGGCCUGAGAGGGCGACCGGCCACACUGGGACUGAGACACGGCCCAGACUCCUACGGGAGGCAGCAGUGGGGAAUAUUGCGCAAUGGGGCGAAAAGCCUGACGCAGCGACGCCGCGUGGGGGAUGAAUGCCUUCGGGUUGUAAACCCCUUUCAGCAGGGACGAAGCGAAAGUGACGGUACCUGCAGAAGAAGCGCCGGCUAACUACGUGCCAGCAGCCGC
Molecule: ribosomal RNA, 476 nt
Filed under: uncultured bacterium
Lineage: Bacteria
Description: SSU rRNA
Rfam family: Bacterial small subunit ribosomal RNA
Source: RNAcentral